RNAcentral lists this transfer RNA (69 nucleotides) under Marmota monax (woodchuck). RNAcentral's name for it is "tRNA.Ala". Lineage: Eukaryota; Metazoa; Chordata; Mammalia; Rodentia; Sciuridae. The record is from RNAcentral.
UGAGAUGUACCUCAGUGGUAGAGCAUUUGCCUAGCAUAUGCAAGGACCUGGGUUCCAUUCCCAGCACAG